GGAGUUAGCCGGUGCUUCUUCUGCGAGUAACGUCACAGAUGUAAGGUAUUAACUUACACCCUUUCCUCCUCGCUGAAAGUGCUUUACAACCCGAAGGCCUUCUUCACACACGCGGCAUGGCUGCAUCAGGGUUUCCCCCAUUGUGCAAUAUUCCCCACUGCUGCCUCCCGUAGGAGUCUGGGCCGUGUCUCAGUCCCAGUGUGGCUGAUCAUCCUCUCAGACCAGCUAGGGAUCGUCGCCUAGGUGAGCCUUUACCUCACCUACUAGCUAAUCCCACCUGGGCUUAUCCAUCAGCGCAAGGCCCGAAGGUCCCCUGCUUUCCCCCGUAGGGCGUAUGCGGUAUUAGCAGUCGUUUCCAACUGUUAUCCCCCACAAAUGGGCAAAUUCCCAGGCCAUUACUCACCCGUCCGCCGCUCGUCAUCUUCAAAAGCAAGCUUUUGAAAUGUUACCGCUCGACUUGCAUGUGUUAGGCCUGCCGCCACGCGUACAUCUGAGCGAGAUACAACUACUCGA
This 513-nucleotide ribosomal RNA is filed under the name uncultured bacterium. Its description in RNAcentral is "partial 16S ribosomal RNA". The record is from RNAcentral.